RNAcentral lists this ribosomal RNA (254 nucleotides) under uncultured bacterium. RNAcentral's name for it is "partial 16S ribosomal RNA". It matches the Rfam family "Bacterial small subunit ribosomal RNA", at positions 524 to 776 of the family's 1533-position model. The record is from RNAcentral.
UACAGAGGUCUCAAGCGUUUGUUCGGAUUCAUUGGGCGUAAAGGGUGCGUAGGUGGCGCCGUAAGUCAGGUGUGAAAUUUCGGAGCUUAACUCCGAAACUGCAUUUGAUACUGCGGUGCUUGAGGACUGGAGAGGAGACUGGAAUUUACGGUGUAGCAGUGAAAUGCGUAGAGAUCGUAAGGAAGACCAGUGGCGAAGGCGGGUCUCUGGGCAUUUCCUGACGCUGAGGCGCGAAAGCGUGGGGAGCAAACAGG